AUUCCAGCUCCAAUAGCGUAUACUAAAGUUGUUGCAGUUAAAAAGCUCGUAGUUGAAUUUCUGGUCUUGGACAGCGGUCUGCCUCAAACGAGGUACGCACCAUCUAUCCGAGUCCAUCCUCGGGGAAAACAUGUCUGUGAUUCAGUUCAUGGGCAUGGGAUCCCCGUCAUUUACUGUGAGCAAAAUAGAGUGUUCAAAGCAGGCUUAUGCCGUUGAAUACAUUAGCAUGGAAUAAUAAGAUAAGACCUUGGUCUACUUUGUUGGUUUGUACUCCAAGGUAAUGAUUAAUAGGGAUAGUUGGGGGUAUUCGUAUUCAAUUGUCAGAGGUGAAAUUCUUGGAUUUAUGAAAGAUGAACUUAUGCGAAAGCAUUUACCAAGGAUGUUUUCAUCG
RNAcentral lists this ribosomal RNA (391 nucleotides) under Chrysophyceae sp. Its description in RNAcentral is "partial small subunit ribosomal RNA". It matches the Rfam family "Eukaryotic small subunit ribosomal RNA", at positions 582 to 975 of the family's 1831-position model. Lineage: Eukaryota; Chrysophyceae. The record is from RNAcentral.